UCGGACCUAUGAAGGGCACAUGUUCCCCUUGCUUGUUCAGGAGGAACUUGAUUUUUGGCCCGAAAAAGACAUUCGCCAAAGAAUAUGGAUGACCGCGACUGAGGCAAGGGAGGUUUGUCAGCAUUGGUGGAUGAAGGAAGCCUUAGAUAGAUUAGUACGACGCCUCACAUCUGUGGAAAAGCGCGAAGAGGAAGAAGUAGUAGGACCAUGUUCUCUAAGCUAGCUCAGCAAAAAUCUUCUAAAAUUGUAAAUAGGAAAUUGUUGAGGGACUCAGACAUGGUUAGAGCAGAGGAGGAGUAAGAGUAUUAGAAUCAGAGCAAUCAAGAGAGAGGAACAACAACCCUGUUGAAAGGAUUGGAUUGGAAGACAAGUAGGAGGAGGAAACUGGGGUUGCUAUCUUGUUUCAUGUUGUUGGGUGGUUUCUAGUUUUGAUGGGUGUUAAAAUGAUGUACAUUAAUUUGUUGGAAACCAACAUAUAUAUUGAUUGAGAAUUAGAACCACCACAUCUUGAAAACAAAUACAGUACAUGAUAUUAGAUUCUGACCA
Molecule: non-coding RNA, 546 nt
Organism: Camellia sinensis
Lineage: Eukaryota; Viridiplantae; Streptophyta; Magnoliopsida; Ericales; Theaceae
Source: RefSeq, a predicted model, not a curated record